CAUAGAUGUAUCCUAGCUAAUCUGUGAAGCUAACUUGAAGAAAUAAAACUAGCAACCAAUAGGGCAGGGUCUCUCCAAGGGAAUUUAAUGGCAGAUACAGUCCGAAGAAGUUUGUACAUUACCUCAAGGCAAAACUCAAUUUAUUUUGGUCUCGUUUAAACAAAUUAAUGUAAGAUAUAACAGAUAAGGAAGAGACAGUGAUUAAUGCCAGCUUGAUCUACGGAAAAAUAUUUCUUAACUAAACAAUUUUCCUAUUGCAAUACGUUUACAUAAAAACUUCCAGUUUUUGUGGUACUCCAUUUUCUGAUAGCAGAAAACUGUUCCCCUGAAAAUGCUUUGACCUCUGCUAUAACUUGUUGAACUGAAGCCUAUAGUGAAAGAUGAGAACAAUAUAGAUGUGCAUGGCCAUAAGUAUUUUAUUACAAGGAUUAUCGUACUUGCCCUUGUAACAGCCAGAAGCAAACAUGAGUUGCAUCUGGUAGGAAUCUGUCAGCUCUCAGACCAUUUGAGAAAAGAAGCACAUGUUGGCAGUAUCCAUAAAUAGGGCAUUACAGGAGUAAAUAAAGUAGCAAAUGGUCAAGCAGAUGGUACUUCCUACCUUAUUAGUCCUGUUAAAGCCCAGAAGUCACAGAAGAGAAGACACAAGACAAUGUACCAAACAUACCCGUAGACAGUACCUGUACCAGAAAAUUCACCCAUGGAAUUGGAGAAGGAAUUAACCUCAAAGCUGGGGAAACAAGGAACAGAAAUAACUGAAAAUCUUAAAUUAUGCCUAAGAAAAAGGAACCCACGCAUUGGAUAGUCUGCAGCAAAUUGUUCAGCUUCACCUUCCUACACUUUGAGUUCCCACUACCAUUUCACUUCAUCUAAUUGCUUCAUUUUCUCAAGUCAUUCACUUUGUGCUUUCAGAAACACCAGACUUUUCACCAAUGGAAAGGCACAGGUACCUCAGCCUUUGCAAAGGUUCAUCUCUCUUACCUUCUUGCUUCUGUCUGUUAUAAAGAAUUGAAACAAUUUCUGAAAUUACCCCCAGAAAAUAUCUAUGAAAUGUCUUUUGUUGGUCAGAAAGUGAUAGGAGCUGUGAUUGUUCAAACUAAAGCACAACACUUGUAUUUUCCUAGCAAACAGGAUUUCCUGGCAGUAUUACUUUUUCUCAUUUAAAUGUCUAUAUACAGAGAAGUUCAAUCUCUCAGCCAGCCUGUAAAAGGUGUCAGUAUGAACCUACACAUGGUCCUGCAUGUGAUCUUAGAAAACUAAGUAUGUGAACUUAGAAAACUAACAAACUUAGAAAACUAAGUUUGUCUGAAACUUGUGGAUCUUCCCAGGUGUUUGUGGUUUUAGUUUGGUCUGAGCUUGGGUACAGUCAUACAUGGAAAGCGUUUUACGGAUUAUUCUCAUCAGUAGAGAAUGACAAGAGUGGUAAAACUACCAGAAGUCCUACUAGCUGAAGUAUUAAUGUUUCUUGGUAGGUGGUUUCCUGUGAGUAAGGUACAAAUAGUUCCACCUGAAAAUGAAGAGCCAAGUCUUUAUCAUCACUUUGUGUUCAAGAGUACAAAUUGGGGUGGCUGGUCAAAUCCAUAUAGUCUUCUCAUUCAAUUGUCAACAAGCAGACAGUUGGAAACAUUGCUCUGAUAUGUGUCCACAGCAAUGACUCCCUAUGCUUUAUCAAUUUAUCUAUCUAUUUAUUUUUAUAUUUAUUUUUGUGGAACAUGACAGUGCACUGAAAAACGUAUUAUUUAAUGUGGAAAGAAAGUGUGUUGCAUACUUUCAACUUUUGGAUUUCCAUGUGGGGAAAAGAAAAAUCUAAUCAGAACAUGAUAAUUUUGAUGAAAGUAUGACUACCCUAUCAUUUCAAAAUAUCUGAAAUGUAAGUUUGGAGUUAGACAAAGAUGACUUUAAGAAGACAAAAUAAUAUUUAGAAAUCAAAAUUGCUCUUGGAACAAAAAGAACAGUAUAAUCUUUACAGAGUUCAUGGAAUCAUAGAAUCAUAGAAUGGCCUGGAUUGAAAAGGACCUCAAAGAUCAUCUGGUUUCAACCCCUCUGCUGUGAGCCUGGUCGCCAACCUCUAGACCAGGCUGCCCAGAGCCACAUCCAGUCACAUCCAGAGUUUUUUUGAAAACAGUAAUAUCAUAACAUCAUAUUCAACCUGAAAUGCAUUGGGGUAAUGUAAGAAAGUACAAGCAAUAAAAUAAAUAACAAAACAGACUAUAUGAAAAACAGUCAUGCUGAAACUGUAAAUAAAGGGCAAAGCAAUAAAACAAAAUGUUAAAAUGUUCUGUCAUUGCAUAACAUACUUGUAAACUUUACAUUAAUUAUAGCAGAAGUAAUAAGAUUUAUGAAGGAGCUGUGAUUUUCAAGAUGACACUGUGUCUUUAAAUUAAAAAAUAUUGUACAACCUCUUUCUUGUGUCUUGUCUUUUCACCAACUGGAACAAUCUGACACUGAAUUUUUUGCAAUAGAACCACUGCUUCAGGUCACAUUCUUUGUCCAAAUUGAUGAGACAUGGCACAGUAGGGCUCAUUUUCAGAACAGCUUGUAGGAGAAUUAAACAACUUAGAUCACUGUUAACGGGAGUCCUGCUCCUUAUCUCUUCUCAGUGUAUGCUGAGGAUUUACCCCAUUGUUGGGAGAUAUUUGCAAGACUAACACAAGCUUUUGAGAAAUAAGUGAUAUUUUAUGUGGUCUUGCAGGGCAAAGUUUGGGGGUGGGGAGAGAAAGGCAGCAAGUUUCUAUUUGUGAAGGUCACAUGUGAGAUAUUUUUGAACUUAAUGGUGUUGUACAUAAUUAGGUGACACAACUCUCAUGUCUGCUGGUAAUUCAGCCUGACCCC
Molecule: long non-coding RNA, 2829 nt
Filed under: Gallus gallus (chicken)
Lineage: Eukaryota; Metazoa; Chordata; Aves; Galliformes; Phasianidae
Source: RNAcentral